Molecule: transfer RNA, 73 nt
Filed under: Cronartium ribicola 11-2
Lineage: Eukaryota; Fungi; Basidiomycota; Pucciniomycetes; Pucciniales; Coleosporiaceae
Description: tRNA-Val (GAC) (tRNA-Val-GAC-11-1)
Rfam family: tRNA
About the family: Transfer RNA (tRNA) molecules are approximately 80 nucleotides in length.
Source: RNAcentral
GACUGGAUAGCCUAGUGGUAAAGGCAUCACAUUGACCAUGCUGAGGUCCCAGGUUCAAAUCCUGGUCUAGUCA